UUAAGACAUGCGACAGGUGUUUAGUCGCUGCAAUACUUAUUUCCUUAUUUCCUUCCGCCGUAUGUUUAAUGUAAGUCCGAUUUGGAAGGGAUCGGCAAUGAUUAAGAUGGUAUUUUGUCGCUUCUAAGUCAUGUGAAUUUCUUUACUGUUCGUUUAUAGUGCGUGAGUUAUAUGCGGUUUCCAAGGCAACCUGCCAUUAUCAGCGUCAGCACAUGUCUGUGCAUUCUGACAAAUAUUCAUGUCUGUUUGAAAAGAAACAUUCUACCCAUUGGGUAGAAUCGUUUAGUUUCCAUUGGGUCAUAACCAUGACCUGGUUAGGUAGGCUUAGACAUAAUUAUUGGAAUGUUUCACUUAGUAACAAAUGGGCUAGGCCCAGUGUUUUCUUACCCCUGUUCACUUAGAAAAGAGUUGCAGCUUUCAUCAAAGAAUCUGAUGAUCUAAAAGUUGAGACUAACUGGAUGAGCUAGGCUGCUUUGUCUGGACGAAAAUGAACCCUCCAAGGCUCCAACAGCCUCAUCACACAGAAACUCGAGGAACCGGAAGCAGGGAGGAGGACCGACAGAUGAACGGAUGACCUGCUUGCCGGGCUUCUCAUUACUGAUUCUUGAGAGAAACGAGGACCACUAACUGAAGAGGAAAUUGCUCUACUGAGAUGAGGAUGAGCCUGCCUCAAGCCGUCGUAAGCUGGGAGGACCGACGGUUCACUGACUGUGCUGGGCUGGUCAUUGCUGAUUCAUGAGAAGAUGAGUACCACCAAGCUUGGACGAGACUGGACAAUGACGAAGCUGUAUCUGGACAAGGAAACCUUCACAAUUAACUUGCAGAAUAUUGGAUCAGAAAUCAGACUGCAUUUUUUGCAAAGUCAGUAAUAUAAAACAUAAAAACGACGAAAAUACGACUUUUUA
Long non-coding RNA from Patiria miniata (bat star), 905 nucleotides. RefSeq lists it as uncharacterized. The record is from RefSeq and is a predicted model, not a curated record. Lineage: Eukaryota; Metazoa; Echinodermata; Asteroidea; Valvatida; Asterinidae. The transcript is spliced from 3 exons.